Molecule: ribosomal RNA, 254 nt
Filed under: uncultured bacterium
Lineage: Bacteria
Description: partial 16S ribosomal RNA
Rfam family: Bacterial small subunit ribosomal RNA
Source: RNAcentral
UACGGGGGGAGCAAGCGUUGUUCGGAUUUACUGGGCGUAAAGGGCGCGUAGGCGGCCAGCGAAAGUUGGUUGGGAAAUCUCUGGGCUUAACCCAGAAAGGCCAACCGAUACUGCGGGGCUAGAGUGCAGAAGGGGCAACUGGAAUUCUCGGUGUAGCGGUGAAAUGCGUAGAUAUCGGGAGGAACACCUGCGGCGAAGGCGGGUUGCUGGGCUGACACUGACGCUGAAGCGCGAAAGCUAGGGGAGCGAACAGG